This 447-nucleotide ribosomal RNA is filed under the name uncultured bacterium. RNAcentral's name for it is "bacterial SSU rRNA". It matches the Rfam family "Bacterial small subunit ribosomal RNA", at positions 331 to 794 of the family's 1533-position model. The record is from RNAcentral.
CCAGACUCCUACGGGAGGCAGCAGUGGGGAAUAUUGCACAAUGGGGGAAACCCUGAUGCAGCGACGCCGCGUGAGUGAAGAAGUAUUUCGGUAUGUAAAGCUCUAUCAGCAGGGAAGAAAAAAGACGGUACCUGACUAAGAAGCCCCGGCUAACUACGUGCCAGCAGCCGCGGUAAUACGUAGGGGGCAAGCGUUAUCCGGAUUUACUGGAUGUAAAGGGAGCGUAGACGGUGCGUCAAGUCUGAAGUGAAAGCCCGGGGCUUAACCCCGGGACUGCUUUGGAAACUGGCGCGCUAGAGUGCUGGAGAGGUAAGUGGAAUUCCUAGUGUAGCGGUGAAAUGCGUAGAUAUUAGGAGGAACACCAGUGGCGAAGGCGGCUUACUGGACAGUAACUGACGUUGAGGCUCGAAAGCGUGGGGAGCAAACAGGAUUAGAUACCCCAGUAGC